GCCCGACGGCCUUGGACUUGUUGC
This 24-nucleotide ribosomal RNA is filed under the name Scleroderma verrucosum. Its description in RNAcentral is "partial 18S ribosomal RNA". The record is from RNAcentral. Lineage: Eukaryota; Fungi; Basidiomycota; Agaricomycetes; Boletales; Sclerodermataceae.